RNAcentral lists this ribosomal RNA (453 nucleotides) under uncultured bacterium. RNAcentral describes it as "partial 16S ribosomal RNA". It matches the Rfam family "Bacterial small subunit ribosomal RNA", at positions 28 to 506 of the family's 1533-position model. The record is from RNAcentral.
GAUGAACGCUGACAGAAUGCUUAACACAUGCAAGUCAACUUGAACUUCGGUUUGGGUGGCGGACGGGUGAGUAACGCGUAAAGAACUUGCCUCACAGAUAGGGACAACAUUUGGAAACGAAUGCUAAUACCUGAUAUUAUGAUUAUAUGGCAUCGUAUAAUUAUGACAGCUAUAUGCGCUGUGAGAGAGCUUUGCGUCCCAUUAGCUAGUUGGAGAGGUAACGGCUCACCAAGGCGAUGAUGGGUAGCCGGCCUGAGAGGGUGAUCGGCCACAAGGGGACUGAGACACAGCCCUUACUCCUACGGGAGGCAGCAGUGGGGAAUAUUGGACAAUGGACCAAGAGUCUGAUCCAGCAAUUCUGUGUGAACGAUGAAGUUUUUCGGAAUGUAAAGUGCUUUCAGUUGGGAAGAAAAAAAUGACGGUACCAACAGAAGAAGUGACGGCUAAAUACGU